RNAcentral lists this ribosomal RNA (929 nucleotides) under uncultured bacterium. RNAcentral describes it as "bacterial SSU rRNA". It matches the Rfam family "Bacterial small subunit ribosomal RNA", at positions 8 to 953 of the family's 1533-position model. The record is from RNAcentral.
AGAGUUUGAUCAUGGCUCAGAAUCAACGCUGGCGGCGUGCCUAACACAUGCAAGUCGAACGAGAAAGUGGAGCAAUCCAUGAGUAAAGUGGCGACCGGGUGAGUAACACGUGACUAACCUACCCUAGAGUGGGGGAUAACCUCGGGAAACCGGGGCUAAUACCGCAUAACAUCGCGAGGGGAAGAUCCAUGCGAUCAAAGGAGCAAUCCGCUGAAGGAGGGGGUCGCGGCUGAUUAGUUAGUUGGUGAGGUAACGGCUCACCAAGACGAAGAUCAGUAGCCGGCCUGAGAGGGCGCACGGCCACACUGGAACUGAAACACGGUCCAGACUCCUACGGGAGGCAGCAGUGGGGAAUUUUGCGCAAUGGGGGAAACCCUGACGCAGCAACGCCGCGUGGAGGAUGAAGUCCCUUGGGAUGUAAACUCCUUUCAAUCGGGACGAUUAUGACGGUACCGGAAGAAGAAGCACCGGCUAACUCUGUGCCAGCAGCCGCGGUAAUACAGAGGGUGCAAGCGUUGUUCGGAAUUAUUGGGCGUAAAGGGCGCGUAGGCGGUGCGGUAAGACUGUGGUGAAAUCUCCGGGCUCAACUCGGAAAUUGCCGCGGUGACUGCCGUGCUGGAGUGUGGGAGAGGUGAGUGGAAUUCCCGGUGUAGCGGUGAAAUGCGUAGAUAUCGGGAGGAACACCUGUGGCGAAAGCGGCUCACUGGACCACAACUGACGCUGAUGCGCGAAAGCUAGGGGAGCAAACAGGAUUAGAUACCCUGGUAGUCCUAGCCCUAAACGAUGAUUGCUUGGUGUGUCGGGUACCCAAUCCCGACGUGCCGCAGCUAACGCGAUAAGCAAUCCGCCUGGGGAGUACGGUCGCAAGACUGAAACUCAAAGGAAUUGACGGGGGCCCGCACAAGCGGUGGAGCAUGUGGUUCAAUUCG